Long non-coding RNA from Hydra vulgaris (swiftwater hydra), 2020 nucleotides. RefSeq lists it as uncharacterized. NCBI's taxonomy places the organism in Eukaryota, Metazoa, Cnidaria, Hydrozoa, Anthoathecata, Hydridae. The record is from RefSeq and is a predicted model, not a curated record.
UACAUACAAAAAAAAAAAAAAAAAUUUUUUGAGUUUCAAAAGUAUUUUAAAAUUCAAAUUAUUUUCGAAUAUGUUAAAAUCUAACAAGUUUUCUGGAUUUUGAAGAUAUCAUUAAUAUUAAAUACUUAUGUGAUGUUUCCUUAUUUUUUUAUGUUUAUGGUUUUUAAUUAAUCAUUAUUGUCUUAUUUAAUUACUGAAGAAAUAUAAUUAGCAUAUGGUUAAGAGAACUAUAUAAAAUAAAGGUUUUCUCACACCUACUAGUGAUGGGGUGACUUGGGACAGGAGACUUGAGGUGAAAUGGGAUAUUGUUCAAUUUUAUCAGUUGUUUAAUUUGUUAUAUUCUAAUUUUUUCAAUCAAUUGUUUUUGUAAAAAAACAAGUUAGCAGAAAAUUAUGCUUAUGACAAGAUUUCUAUGUUUACUUUAUGUUAAUAUGUUUUUAUCUUACAAAAAAUAGUUAUAUAGGAUUUCUUUGAAACUUUAUCCUGGUUGUUAAAGACAUCUUUCACAAUGCCAAGAAAGUACAAACGAGUGACAAAUUGGUUAAAGCCUGAUGCUCAUACAAUAAAAACCGCUGUAAUGGCUAUUGAAUCUGGGAAUUUAUCACUACGAGCAGCUGCACUGGAAUAUAAAAAUUCAAAAUUAAGUUUACUGUGGAAAAUAAAGAUUAAUAAAGAAACUUUCUUUAAAUGAGUUAUACUUUGAUGAACAACAUAAAUAUAUUUUUAAUAAGGCGCAAGAAGGUGAAUUUCCAACAUAUCUUCGUCAAUCUGAUAUACAUUAUGGAAUAAAUGUUAGAGAAACAAAGCAACUUGCGUAUCAAUAUGCAAUUAAAAAUGACAUUAAAAUACCAGAAAACUGGAAAAAGAGUGAAACAGCUGGAACUUUAUAGUUUUUUUAUUCUUAAAUUGUACAAAAUCAUCUAUUCGUAUGCUAGAAGCUACCAGCCUUAAUAGAACGACUAGUUUCAAUCGCACCAAUGCAGAUACUUUCUUCAAAAACUUUGACAUUGUACAGAAGCGCUAUAAGUUUUCUGCUGAUUGUAUUUACAAUAUUGAUGAAACAGCUCUUUAAACUGUUCAUAAUUCCAGUAAAUGUGGUUGCGGGUAAAGGAGUAAAGCAAAUAGGACAGGUAACUUCUGCUGAAAGGGAAACCCUAGUUACAAUGGUAGGUUGUAUAAAUGCCCUUGAAAAUUCUAUUUCACCGUUUUUGAUAUUUCCCCGUGUCCACUUUCGUAGCUACAUGCUUAAAGGUGGACCAACAGGUCCCAAAGGUGAUGUUAAUCCUAGUGGAUAGAUAAAUACAGAAAUAUUUUUAAAAUGGUUUGAUUAUUUUGUGCAGCAUGGACAUCCUAGCCAGCAUCAUCCAUUACUUUUAAUAAUGGACAACCGCAAAAGUCAUAUAUUGAUUGAAUUGAUGAAUAAAGCUAAGGAAAGUAAUGUUGUGUCACCCCAUUGCAGUCACAAACUCCAACUACUUGACAGAUCAGUAUUUGGACCAUUAAAGAAAUUUUACAGUAUAGCAUGUGAUUCAUGGUUAAAGGCACAUCCAAAUACUCCUAUUAUAAUAUAUGACAUUUCUGAAAAUUUAGGAUUAGCUUAAGUGAGAGCCUUUACUUCCCAAAACAUUCAAAAUGGUUUUAAGGCAGCUGACAUUUUCCUGUUCAAUCCAUAUGUUUUCAGUGAUGUAAACUUUUUAUGUUCUUAUGUAUCUGAUCAACCAAUUACAGCAAAUAUCUCUACCUUAUCAGCCAGUUUGUCCAGCAGUAUUUCUCAACCGGUUCAAAAAACGAUUUUUGUCAGUAUAGUUAAUGUAUACAAUCAGACAGACCCUGCAACUAAGGCUUACAAUUUAAGUAAAUUAUCUGAUUUGCAAACGCAAACAAUCCCUACACCACUAUCUAUUGUAUCUGAAGUUAUUAAUGACAAGAAACAGCAAAUAAACACUUCUGCCUACCAUUGGACAGCAGAAGAUAUAAGGCCAUUUCCUAAAGCGGGUGAGAGGGCGACAAAGAGAAAAAG